AUUAAUAUAAUAUGAUGCUUUACAUGUAUAAUUGAAAAACUAAAAAAUUUAAGUAUCAAAUUUUGAUAUUUUAAAAAAUAUUAUAGGUUUUUUGAUUUUUAAAAAUAAAAAAUAUUUUAAUUCUUAAAUAUCUAUUUUUCCAAAUAUAUAAAUAAAAUAAUAUUUAAAAAAAUUAUAAAGUUAUUAAUAAUUAUUAUAAUUAUUAUAAAUA
Molecule: transfer RNA, 211 nt
Filed under: Pneumocystis jirovecii
Lineage: Eukaryota; Fungi; Ascomycota; Pneumocystomycetes; Pneumocystales; Pneumocystaceae
Description: tRNA-Pseudo(GAA)
Source: RNAcentral